GACGAACGCUGGCGGCGUGCUUAACACAUGCAAGUCGAACGGAAAGGCCCUGCUUUUGUGGGGUGCUCGAGUGGCGAACGGGUGAGUAACACGUGAGUAACCUGCCCUUGACUUUGGGAUAACUUCAGGAAACUGGGGCUAAUACCGGAUAGGAGCUCCUGCUGCAUGGUGGGGGUUGGAAAGUUUCGGCGGUUGGGGAUGGACUCGCGGCUUAUCAGCUUGUUGGUGGGGUAGUGGCUUACCAAGGCUUUGACGGGUAGCCGGCCUGAGAGGGUGACCGGCCACAUUGGGACUGAGAUACGGCCCAGACUCCUACGGGAGGCAGCUGUGGGGAAUAUUGCACAAUGGGCGGAAGCCUGAUGCAGCAACGCCGCGUGCGGGAUGACGGCCUUCGGGUUGUAAACCGCUUUCGCCUGUGACGAAGCGUGAGUGACGGUAAUGGGUAAAGAAGCACCGGCUAACUACGUG
This 468-nucleotide ribosomal RNA is filed under the name uncultured bacterium. Its description in RNAcentral is "partial 16S ribosomal RNA". It matches the Rfam family "Bacterial small subunit ribosomal RNA", at positions 28 to 507 of the family's 1533-position model. The record is from RNAcentral.